This 496-nucleotide ribosomal RNA is filed under the name uncultured bacterium. RNAcentral describes it as "partial 16S ribosomal RNA". It matches the Rfam family "Bacterial small subunit ribosomal RNA", at positions 30 to 523 of the family's 1533-position model. The record is from RNAcentral.
AUUGAACGCUGGCGGAAUGCUUUACACAUGCAAGUCGAACGGUAGAGGGGGCAACCCCUCGAGAGUGGCGAACGGGUGAGUAAUAUAUCGGAACGUGCCCAGUCGUGGGGGAUAACGUAGUGAAAGUUACGCUAAUACCGCAUACGAUCUAAGGAUGAAAGCGGGGGAUCGCAAGACCUCGCGCGAUUGGAGCGGCCGAUAUCAGAUUAGGUAGUUGGUGGGGUAAAGGCUCACCAAGCCAACGAUCGGUAGCUGGUCUGAGAGGACGACCAGCCACACUGGAACUGAGACACGGUCCAGACUCCUACGGGAGGCAGCAGUGGGGAAUUUUGGACAUUGGACGCAAGUCUGAUCCAGCCAUUCCGCGUGCAGGAUGAAGGCCCUCGGGUUGUAAACUGCUUUUGUACGGAACGAAAAGGUCUCUCUUAAUACGGGGGACUCAUGACGGUACCGUAAGAAUAAGCACCGGCUAACUACGUGCCAGCCGCCGCGGUAA